This 73-nucleotide transfer RNA is filed under the name Actinoplanes lutulentus. Its description in RNAcentral is "tRNA-Arg". It matches the Rfam family "tRNA". Rfam says of the family: Transfer RNA (tRNA) molecules are approximately 80 nucleotides in length. The record is from RNAcentral. Lineage: Bacteria; Bacillati; Actinomycetota; Actinomycetes; Micromonosporales; Micromonosporaceae.
GCCCCCGUGGCGCAGCGGAUAGCGCACCUGAUUACGGAUCAGGAAGUCGCAGGUUCGAAUCCUGCCGGGGGCA